GAUGAAGAACGCAGCGAAAUGCGAUAAGUAAUGUGAAUUGCAGAAUUCAGUGAAUCAUCGAAUCUUUGAACGCAUCUUGCGCUCCUUGGUAUUCUGAGGAGCAUGCCUGUUUGAGUGUCAUUAAAUUCUCAACUACACUGACUUUGAAUUGGUGUGGCUUGGAUUUGGGGGGAAAAUUGUUGUGGGCUUUUUGUAUAGUCUGCUCCCCUGAAAUUGAUUAGCGGUACCUUUGUGGAACUGUCUACAGGUGUGAUAAUUAUCUACAUCUUAGACAUCUGCGGCAAUGCUGCUUUCUAAACCUUACUUGUAUUGACAAUCUUGACCUCAAAUCAGGUAGGACUACCCGCUGAACUUAAGCAUAUCAAUAAGCGGAGA
This 375-nucleotide unclassified non-coding RNA is filed under the name soil metagenome. Its description in RNAcentral is "partial contains 5.8S ribosomal RNA, internal transcribed spacer 2, and large subunit ribosomal RNA". The stretch from base 1 to 120 matches the Rfam family "5.8S ribosomal RNA", at positions 35 to 154 of the family's 154-position model. The record is from RNAcentral.